AUUGAACGCUGGCGGCAUGCCUUACACAUGCAAGUCGAACGGCAGCACGGGAGCAAUCCUGGUGGCGAGUGGCGAACGGGUGAGUAAAGUAUCGGAACGUGCCCAGUCGUGGGGGAUAACGUAGCGAAAGUUACGCUAAUACCGCAUACGAUCUAUGGAUGAAAGCGGGGGAUCGCAAGACCUCGCGCGAUUGGAGCGGCCGAUAUCAGAUUAGGUAGUUGGUGGGGUAAAGGCUCACCAAGCCGACGAUCUGUAGCUGGUCUGAGAUGACGACCAGCCACACUGGGACUGAGACGCGGCCCAGACUCCUACGGGAGGCAGCAGUGGGGAAUUUUGGACAAUGGGCGAAAGCCUGAUCCAGCCAUUCCGCGUGCAGGAUGAAGGCCUUCGGGUUGUAAACUGCUUUUGUACGGAACGAAAAGGUUUGGCCUAAUAAGCUGAGCUCAUGACGGUACCGUAAGAAUAAGCACCGGCUAACUACGUGCCAGCCGCCGCAGUAA
Molecule: ribosomal RNA, 500 nt
Filed under: uncultured bacterium
Lineage: Bacteria
Description: partial 16S ribosomal RNA
Rfam family: Bacterial small subunit ribosomal RNA
Source: RNAcentral